This 303-nucleotide ribosomal RNA is filed under the name uncultured bacterium. Its description in RNAcentral is "partial 16S ribosomal RNA". It matches the Rfam family "Bacterial small subunit ribosomal RNA", at positions 507 to 808 of the family's 1533-position model. The record is from RNAcentral.
AGCAGCCGCCGCGGGAAUAUGAAGGGUGCAAGCGUUACUCGGAAUUACUGGGCGUAAAGCGUGCGUAGGUGGUGGUUUAAGUCCGUUGUGAAAGCCCUGGGCUCAACCUGGGAAUUGCAGUGGAUACUGGGUCACUAGAGUGUGGUAGAGGAUAGUGGAAUUUCCGGUGUAGCAGUGAAAUGCGUAGAGAUCGGAAGGAACAUCUGUGGCGAAGGCGACUAUCUGGGCCAACACUGACACUGAGCACGAAAGCGUGGGGAGCAAACAGGAUUAGAUACCCCCGUAGUCCCUGUCUCUUAUACA